This 348-nucleotide long non-coding RNA is filed under the name Sorghum bicolor (sorghum). RNAcentral's name for it is "long non-coding RNA (SBIC_LNC014130)". The record is from RNAcentral. Lineage: Eukaryota; Viridiplantae; Streptophyta; Magnoliopsida; Poales; Poaceae.
AUAGCCGUGAUAGACGACAUCAUCUGCAACAGGGGUAAAUAAAACCCUGAGUACGAGAAUGUACUCAGCUAGACUUACCCGUCAUAAACCAGAAAUAAAGUGACACCAAGGAGUAUGCAAGGCUGAUCUUUGUGGGCUGGUUUGACUCACCUUUUGCAUAAAAGCCUUUGUUAUAAGUAAUUCAUUUAUCAGAUUUCAGCAGCAAGUUCAUUACUUAGCAACUAUCCACUAGAUUAGCACCUGCUCUAAGCAUACACUUGAGUCUUUAAGCAUUACAAUAAUAACCAUAUCCGGAUUAUCACAUAGCCAUCAACAUUCUCAUCAUAACCAUUAAGUUUAUUUAGUGAG